CUUUCCCUUUCAGUUAUUAUUUUAACCUUUACGAGCCUAAUGGGCUGCUCAGGCAAGUAGAUGGAUGUGAUUUUUUUGCCAGCAGUCACUAAUACAAACAGGCCACAUCACAAUGAUAAGCCCUGUGUGUGAUCCAUGGGCUUCUGCAGCUCCCAGUCACCUGAGGACUACUCCCAGACAAAGGUGUCCCAGAGUGAAGCAGGAUGAGACAAGGGGCCAUUGAGUGCUAACAAUGAGCUACCCACCCUUCCUGGCUAUAGACUACUUCCUCAAAGAGCUUCCCCUGAUGGGGGCAGGAAACAAGGGGGCAAAGAAAUUCCAAAGAGGGUUAUCCUUGCCCUCAGGAGUGCCUGUGCCUGCCAUGAUAAUUUCAAUCUACUACAUUAUGGGAUCUGGAGCUUCUUCUGGCACUUGUAUUAGUAUUAUCCCAUUCUGAGAUGGUGUAUUUGCCUUUCUCUGUGUUAUAGAUUUGGACUGAAGGAAACCUCAGAAAGCCUAUUGUACUUUGGCUCCUCUCUGAGAAGGUCAUAAUAAUCCUCAUUCUCUUACAUAUUCUGAAAGAAGCUAAAGAGAAAAUCUACAAAUAAGACAAAGAUUUAGCUGGCCCAAUAUGUGUGGUCCCUGAAAUAUAAUGGUCGCCGAAAUUGUGAAAUUAGAGUCUGUUUUAUUGUAUCCAAAUAACCAAGAUCUUUAACUUAGAUGAAAGUGAAAUUGGGGGGUUCCCCUAGAUUCUGAUGAUCCUUUAUCCUUCUGUUACCUUUUAUAAAGUACUCACAAGGGUCACGUAUGAAGCAGAUCAAUCUUGUUCUCUUCUAGCCCAGAUUCUAUAAUGAAAGAGAAAGCAUAAGGGAUGUUAUUACCUGAGAAUGAUUC
RNAcentral lists this long non-coding RNA (873 nucleotides) under Monodelphis domestica (gray short-tailed opossum). RNAcentral describes it as "lncRNA (ENSMODG00000043246.1)". Lineage: Eukaryota; Metazoa; Chordata; Mammalia; Didelphimorphia; Didelphidae. The record is from RNAcentral.